This 253-nucleotide ribosomal RNA is filed under the name uncultured bacterium. RNAcentral's name for it is "partial 16S ribosomal RNA". It matches the Rfam family "Bacterial small subunit ribosomal RNA", at positions 524 to 776 of the family's 1533-position model. The record is from RNAcentral.
UACGUAGGGGGCUAGCGUUGUCCGGAUUUAUUGGGCGUAAAGAGCGUGUAGGCGGCCAGGUAGGUCUGCUGUGAAAACUCGAGGCUCAACCUCGAGAUGUCGGCGGAAACCAUCUGGCUAGAGUCCGGAAGAGGAAAGUGGAAUUCCUGGUGUAGCGGUGAAAUGCGCAGAUAUCGAGAGGAACACCUGCGGCGAAGGCGGGUUGCUGGGCUGACACUGACGCUGAGGAGCGAAAGCGUGGGGAGCGAACAGG